Molecule: long non-coding RNA, 302 nt
Organism: Mytilus californianus (California mussel)
Lineage: Eukaryota; Metazoa; Mollusca; Bivalvia; Mytilida; Mytilidae
Exons: 2
Source: RefSeq, a predicted model, not a curated record
AGAAAGGAUCUGAUGUGUAAUUUCCUCAGAAAUUCAGACUUGGAUGAUUUGAUGAAGAAAGAAAGCAGGAAACAUUCAUGCUGUGACUUGUGUGCUAAUCUUGUAAUUGUGAAUCCUGUGAUAUAUUACCUCUUGAAAAGUUAUUUCUGUCAGAACAAGUUGUUGAGGAGCUCGAGGAGCAAGAAGAUUCUGCUGUAUCAGAUAGCGAUACUGAAGACUACAAUUUGUCGGCCUAUGAAUACUUAAAAGAUCUUGAUAUGGCUUUAUUAGAAAUACAAGAUGAUUAAAACAGUUGAUAUUUA